CUAAUGGUACUUUGGGCAACCAAGUUGCUUGGUUGGGAGCCUAUAAAUGGGGUAGAUGAUGCCAAAAGACCGAAUACAAUAUAUUCUCCAUAAAUACUUCAUUUAAUGCAAUUAUCUUCUUUUAGUUACAUUCACGCAACAAGCUUUUUUCAAACUAUCAAUUAAAUCGAUCUAAAUUGACCACAUCAUUUUUAGACAUCGAAAAACUCUUUUUGUAUAUUAAUGGAACGCUAUUGAAGAACAUAAAUUCAAUUAAGCCACCGCUUAAUUUUAUGUUAAUACAACUCACAUAAGUUAGUGGACAAAAUAAAUCAAUUAAAGAUUCGAAAUGACUAUGAAUCGUGUGAUGUGGUUUAUUAUCCGUGUAUAUCACGUAUUCAUUGUAUUGUUAUCACAUUUUAAUAUUGUUCACAAUAAUUUGACAUCCCUGUUGUCCAGACCAGAGUUGUGUUCCGCAGGGAAAGAUGAGGUCAUUAUCGUGAAUUAAAAGAUAAGAAUUUAGCCCCUGUUUGUUUCUCAUUAUUUGUCCAUUAAAAUGAAAAAUAUGAUCGUUAUUCAUCACAUCAAGUCAUCAUAUUUGACUUUCUAUUUCUUGUGUGAGGUCUGUAACAAUUAUAUUUUUCAUUAUUAUUUUUACAUUAAUGUGUACAGAACGGGAUCUAAUUUUCCUCUUAGUAUCCAUCAAUAAUGAGAGGCGGAAAGUGACAGAUAAUUCAUUUAUUUAACGUGCGCUAAGGGCUAGCUUAUCUCAUGGCCACAGACUGGAAAGAUACACGAUGACAGCACUGCACUUGACAACUCUGAAUAGAAAAACAAUUCCCAACGUUCCGAAGAACACUCUGGAAGCAUCUCACAGGGAGCCACGUGUCGAAUUUUGACUCGAUUAGUUAUUAUUCUAUUAAAGAAAUUUUGAAAAGCAGGCUACAUUUGUCUUAUACUACCCAGUAAACUGUGAAGUGGCGAGAACACGAUUAUUUAAUUUCUUUUUUUUUUUAAAUUCAUUUUUAGCCCUGUUUGGUACCCAUUUUUUACAAAAUGUAUUUUUCUCUCUUCUUUUCAACCACAUAUUCUUUAUUAAAAUAAUAUUAC
This 1089-nucleotide long non-coding RNA is filed under the name Olea europaea (common olive). RNAcentral's name for it is "long non-coding RNA (OEUR_LNC008698)". Lineage: Eukaryota; Viridiplantae; Streptophyta; Magnoliopsida; Lamiales; Oleaceae. The record is from RNAcentral.